This 366-nucleotide unclassified non-coding RNA is filed under the name uncultured bacterium. RNAcentral's name for it is "contains 16S-23S intergenic spacer region". The record is from RNAcentral.
UCCUCGUUAACCGAGGCAGUCUCGUGUGAAAAAUACAACACACGACGAGGGUUGCGCUCGUUGCGGGACUUAACCCAACAUCUCACGACACGAGCUGACGACGACCAUGCAGCACCUGUCACCGGUCCGGCCGGACCGACUUUCGUGUUUCCACGAAAUACGACCGGGAUGUCAAGCCCUGGUAAGGUUCUUCGCUUAGCGUCGAAUUAAACCACACGCUCCACCGCUUGUGCGGCCCCCCGUCAAUUCCUUUGAGUUUUAAGCUUGCGCUCGUACUCCCCAGGCGGGACACUUAACGCGUUAGCUUCGACACCCAGGGGGUCUAUGCCCCAGAUGCCUAGUGUCCAUCGUUUACGGCGUGGACUA